RNAcentral lists this unclassified non-coding RNA (339 nucleotides) under soil metagenome. RNAcentral's name for it is "partial contains 5.8S ribosomal RNA, internal transcribed spacer 2, and large subunit ribosomal RNA". The stretch from base 1 to 120 matches the Rfam family "5.8S ribosomal RNA", at positions 35 to 154 of the family's 154-position model. The record is from RNAcentral.
GAUGAAGAACGCAGCGAAAUGCGAUACGUAGUGUGAAUUGCAGAAUUCAGUGAAUCAUCGAAUCUUUGAACGCACAUUGCACCUCUCGGUAUUCCGGGAGGUAUGCCUGUUCGAGCGUCAUUUGUACCCUCAAGCUCUGCUUGGUGUUGGGUGUUUGUUCCGCCUCUGUGUGUGAACUCGCCUCAAAACAAUUGGCAGCCGGCGUACUUGUUUCGGAGCGCAGCACAUUUUGCGAUCCAGAUCAACGUACAGCGGCAUCCAAGAAGCCUUAUUUAACGCUCUUGACCUCGGAUCAGGUAGGGAUACCCGCUGAACUUAAGCAUAUCAAUAAGCGGUGGA